RNAcentral lists this ribosomal RNA (253 nucleotides) under uncultured bacterium. RNAcentral's name for it is "partial 16S ribosomal RNA". It matches the Rfam family "Bacterial small subunit ribosomal RNA", at positions 524 to 776 of the family's 1533-position model. The record is from RNAcentral.
UACAGGGGGUGCAAACGUUGCUCGGAAUCAUUGGGCGUAAAGCGCACGUAGGCGGUUCGUUAUGUCGGAUGUGAAAGCCCUUGGCUUAACUGAGGAAGUGCAUCCGAAACUGGCGAGCUAGAGUACUAAAGAGGAUCGCGGAAUUCCCGGUGUAGAGGUGAAAUUCGUAGAUAUCGGGAGGAACACCGGUGGCGAAGGCGGCGAUCUGGGUAGAUACUGACGCUGAGGUGCGAAAGCGUGGGGAGCAAACAGG